RNAcentral lists this ribosomal RNA (924 nucleotides) under uncultured Actinobacillus sp. RNAcentral's name for it is "bacterial SSU rRNA". It matches the Rfam family "Bacterial small subunit ribosomal RNA", at positions 74 to 992 of the family's 1533-position model. The record is from RNAcentral. Lineage: Bacteria; Pseudomonadati; Pseudomonadota; Gammaproteobacteria; Pasteurellales; Pasteurellaceae.
GAAAGCUUGCUUUCUUUGCUGACGAGUGGCGGACGGGUGAGUAAUGCUUGGGAAUCUGGCUUAUGGAGGGGGAUAACUACGGGAAACUGUAGCUAAUACCGCGUAAUAUCUACGGAUUAAAGGGUGGGACUUUCGGGCCACCUGCCAUAAGAUGAGCCCAAGUGGGAUUAGGUAGUUGGUUAGGUAAAGGCUGACCAAGCCGACGAUCUCUAGCUGGUCUGAGAGGAUGACCAGCCACACUGGAACUGAGACACGGUCCAGACUCCUACGGGAGGCAGCAGUGGGGAAUAUUGCACAAUGGGGGGAACCCUGAUGCAGCCAUGCCGCGUGAAUGAAGAAGGCCUUCGGGUUGUAAAGUUCUUUCGGUAGCGAGGAAGGUGGUUAUGUAAAUAGCAUAAUCAAUUGACGUUAACUACAGAAGAAGCACCGGCUAACUCCGUGCCAGCAGCCGCGGUAAUACGGGGGGUGCGAGCGUUAAUCGGAAUAACUGGGCGUAAAGGGCACGCAGGCGGUGACUUAAGUGAGAUGUGAAAGCCCCGAGCUUAACUUGGGAAUUGCAUUUCAUACUGGGUCGCUAGAGUACUUUAGGGAGGGGUAGAAUUCCACGUGUAGCGGUGAAAUGCGUAGAGAUGUGGAGGAAUACCGAAGGCGAAGGCAGCCCCUUGGGAAUGUACUGACGCUCAUGUGCGAAAGCGUGGGGAGCAAACAGGAUUAGAUACCCUGGUAGUCCACGCUGUAAACGCUGUCGAUUUGGGGGUUGGGCUUUGAGCUUGGCGCCCGUAGCUAACGUGAUAAAUCGACCGCCUGGGGAGUACGGCCGCAAGGUUAAAACUCAAAUGAAUUGACGGGGGCCCGCACAAGCGGUGGAGCAUGUGGUUUAAUUCGAUGCAACGCGAAGAACCUUACCUACUCUUGACAUCCAUA